This is a long non-coding RNA of Engraulis encrasicolus (European anchovy), 1295 nucleotides long. RefSeq lists it as uncharacterized. NCBI's taxonomy places the organism in Eukaryota, Metazoa, Chordata, Actinopteri, Clupeiformes, Engraulidae. The transcript has 3 exons. The record is from RefSeq and is a predicted model, not a curated record.
AAGAACACAUUCAUCGUCGUCAAGACAACUUCACGGAAUGUUUACAUGCAACUCCAUGCAAAGUGGAAUGUUCAGUGAACUUCUCAGUCUAAUUUCAGACAUCAAAGAGAACAGCUGGAAAAUAUGAAGCUCCUGAACCUUUUGUGUUGUUUCUGCCCACCGGGUCCUGCUGAGGAGGGCGACAUGGGUGACUUGGGCAUGUCAAGGGCCCAGGAUGUGGGCAAGAAGAAACAGGUAGCCAAGCCAAGAAGCCAAGCAAGCAAGAAGAAGAUAAGGAAGGAGGCCAAGAGGCUAAAACACCAGAUGAUUGAUAUGAAGAAAAAAGAGGUCAUGAUGGAUAUGGAAACGCCUAUGGAUAUGGUCGAGGUAGCUAAGGAGGCAGCUGAUGCAGGCUCAAAGGCCCUACAUCAGCCAAAAACUCCCCCCAACCUGACUACUGGGGCUGAGGAGCCGGUGGAGAAGGUGACCCGGGAAACCACUCCGGAUCAUGGUGAGACAGAUGGGGCCAGUAGUGUAAGCUCCCCCUCCACCCCAUGUGAUCUAUUAGCCACCCUGAACUCUGUGGCCAACGCUGAUGGUGACAUAGUGGCUUUGCUGGAUCACCUGAAAGCGGCCAAUAUGACACACAUAGCUGUGCCGGGAAGACCUCAACUGCGGUAGCCUGCACCUCGCUCCAACACCAAAAAGGAGAGCCCCAUGGGGGAAAAGCCUGCCCUCCGCCAGCCCAAAGCUGGCCUUGGACUGUACACUGGACCUGAGAAGCUGAUCCCGAAAGAGACCUUGGAAGCCAUCUUGGAUCUUCCUCAGGCCGAUGGGUCCAUGGUGAAUGGUGGCCAGUGCUCUACUCCAGCAGUGGACACUCCCCAUUCAGCAGUGACAAAGGCUGUGAUUGAUCAGUUUCAGUUUGUCAACUGACACUGCAGAUGACUCAGGAUCUGGUGAUUCACUGUGCUUGUUCAGGAAGAUGAGCAAAGAGGACUGUGACCAAAGCCAGUCAGACCUCAACAAAGACAGAGUGCAGCUGGCUGAGGACGGCAGCGAGAGGUGCCCAUCUCCAGAGCUCUGUGAACAUCAGGUCCUGCAGCAGCCAGAGAUGGGAUUGACUGCCGCUGUUACUGGAGAGAUGUCAGCUGGAGGAGGAGAGGAGGAUGAAGCUGAGGAGCAGGCCUAAUGCCCAGGCCUGAGAGACAUCCAACUUAACACACACACGCACGCAGUGCCAGACUACAACGAUUUCUCAGUUCGAAACAACAUAGUUGCAGUCCUACUUUAAGUUAGUAUUUUUCAUGAAUAAA